GCACAAGCGGUGGAGCAUGUGGUUUAAUUCGACGCAACGCGAAGAACCUUACCUGGGCUUGACAUGUUCCUGACCGCCGUGGAAACACGGUUUCCCUUCGGGGCAGGAUCACAGGUGGUGCAUGGCUGUCGUCAGCUCGUGUCGUGAGAUGUUGGGUUAAGUCCCGCAACGAGCGCAACCCCCGUCGCAUGUUGCCAGCAUUUAGUUGGGGACUCAUGCGAGACUGCCGGUGACAAACCGGAGGAAGGUGGGGAUGACGUCAAGUCAUCAUGCCCCUUAUGUCCAGGGCUACACACGUGCCACAUUGGCGCGUACAGAGGGUUGCGAUACCGUGAGGUGGAGCGGAUCCCUUAAAGCGCGUCUCGGUUCGGAUUGCAGGCUGAAACUCGCCUGCAUGAAGGCGGAGUUGCUAGUAAUCGCGGAUCAGCAUUGCCGCGGUGAAUACGUUCCCGGGC
This 455-nucleotide ribosomal RNA is filed under the name uncultured soil bacterium. Its description in RNAcentral is "bacterial SSU rRNA". It matches the Rfam family "Bacterial small subunit ribosomal RNA", at positions 923 to 1379 of the family's 1533-position model. The record is from RNAcentral.